CCAGACUCCUACGGGAGGCAGCAGUGAGGAAUAUUGGUCAAUGGGCGCGAGCCUGAACCAGCCAAGUCGCGUGAGGGAAGACGGUCCUAUGGAUUGUAAACCUCUUUUGUCGGGGAGCAAAAGACGCCACGUGUGGCGUUCCGAGAGUACCCGAAGAAAAAGCAUCGGCUAACUCCGUGCCAGCAGCCGCGGUAAUACGGAGGAUGCGAGCGUUAUCCGGAUUUAUUGGGUUUAAAGGGUGCGCAGGCGGCGAGUUAAGUCAGCGGUAAAAUUUGGGGGCUCAACCCCGACAAGCCGUUGAAACUGGCUUGCUAGAGUGGGCGAGAAGUAUGCGGAAUGUGUGGUGUAGCGGUGAAAUGCAUAGAUAUCACGCAGAACUCCGAUUGCGAAGGCAGCAUACCGGCGCCCAACUGACGCUCAGGCACGAAAGCGUGGGUAUCGAACAGGAUUAGAUACCCCAGUA
This 463-nucleotide ribosomal RNA is filed under the name uncultured bacterium. Its description in RNAcentral is "bacterial SSU rRNA". It matches the Rfam family "Bacterial small subunit ribosomal RNA", at positions 331 to 792 of the family's 1533-position model. The record is from RNAcentral.